UGGGGAAUCUUGCACAAUGGGGGCAACCCUGAUGCAGCGACGCCGCGUGAGCGAUGAAGCCCUUCGGGGCGUAAAGCUCUUUCGACCGGAACGAUAAUGACGGUACCGGGAGAAGAAGCUGCGGCUAACUACGUGCCAGCAGCCGCGGUAAUACGUAGGCAGCAAGCGUUGUUCGGAGUUACUGGGCGUAACGAGUGCGUAGGCGGUUUUCUAAGUUCGGUGUGAAAUCUCCCGGCGUAACUGGGAGGGUGCGCCGAAGACUGGGAAGCUGGAGUGUGGGAAAGGCGGGCGCAAUUCCUGGUGUUGCGGUGAAAUGCGUAGAUAUCAGGAGAAACACCGGCGGUG
RNAcentral lists this ribosomal RNA (345 nucleotides) under uncultured bacterium. Its description in RNAcentral is "bacterial SSU rRNA". It matches the Rfam family "Bacterial small subunit ribosomal RNA", at positions 355 to 717 of the family's 1533-position model. The record is from RNAcentral.